This 420-nucleotide ribosomal RNA is filed under the name uncultured archaeon. Its description in RNAcentral is "partial 16S ribosomal RNA". It matches the Rfam family "Archaeal small subunit ribosomal RNA", at positions 323 to 746 of the family's 1478-position model. The record is from RNAcentral.
CUACGGGUGGCAGCAGUUAGGCAUCUUCUGCAAUGCGCGCAAGCGUGACAGAGUGAGCCAGAGUGCCUUUCAUUGAAAGGCUUUUGCCAAAUGUAAAAAGUUUGGCGAAUAAGGACUGGGUAAGACGAGUGCCAGCCGCCGCGGUAAUACUCGCGGUCCAAGUCGCAGCCAUCUUUAUUGGGUCUAAAACAUCCGUAGCUUGCUAGGUGAGUUCCCUGUGAAAUUCUGUAUCUUAAGUUCAGAGCGAGCAGGGAGUACUGCCUAGCUAGAGACUGGAAGACGUGAGAAGUACGCUCAAGGUAGCGGUAAAAUGUUUUAAUCUUGGACGGACUCACAACAGCGAAGGCAUCUCACGAGGACAGUUCUGACAGUAAGGGAUGAAGGCUAGGGGCGCAAAACGGAUUAGAUACCCCCGUAGUC